RNAcentral lists this ribosomal RNA (484 nucleotides) under uncultured bacterium. RNAcentral's name for it is "partial 16S ribosomal RNA". It matches the Rfam family "Bacterial small subunit ribosomal RNA", at positions 30 to 507 of the family's 1533-position model. The record is from RNAcentral.
AUUGAACGCUGGCGGCAGGCCUAACACAUGCAAGUCGAGCGGAUGAAGGGAGCUUGCUCCUGGAUUCAGCGGCGGACGGGUGAGUAAUGCCUAGGAAUCUGCCUGGUAGUGGGGGAUAACGUCCGGAAACGGGCGCUAAUACCGCAUACGUCCUGAGGGAGAAAGUGGGGGAUCUUCGGACCUCACGCUAUCAGAUGAGCCUAGGUCGGAUUAGCUAGUUGGUGGGGUAAAGGCCUACCAAGGCGACGAUCCGUAACUGGUCUGAGAGGAUGAUCAGUCACACUGGAACUGAGACACGGUCCAGACUCCUACGGGAGGCAGCAGUGGGGAAUAGUGGACAAUGGGCGAAAGCCUUAUCCAGCCAUGCCGCGUGUGUGAAGAAGGUCUUCGGAUUGUAAAGCACUUUAAGGUGGGAGGAAGGGCAGUAAGUUAAUACCUUGCUGGUUUGACGUUACCAACAGAAUAAGCACCGGCUAACUUCGUG